RNAcentral lists this long non-coding RNA (1060 nucleotides) under Strigops habroptila (Kakapo). RNAcentral's name for it is "lncRNA (ENSSHBG00005006110.1)". Lineage: Eukaryota; Metazoa; Chordata; Aves; Psittaciformes; Psittacidae. The record is from RNAcentral.
CAUGCAGAGAAAAUGAUAAUGAAUUGUUUGAAGCCUAGCUUUCUUUGGCAUAGCUGGACGAAGAAUUGUUUUCGCUCUAUUUUCCCGUAAUAGUUGCUUAAGAAAUCAACUUUCUUCCUCUUGGCUUGAGACUAACAAAGAGUUGGAAGUAUGAUGGUAGGUUUCGUAAUAGCUUGGUCAUGCUGUAAUACUGAGCAGCAAAGGUAAUUGGGAUACAAAGUGGAAAUAGAAGACUCUCAAAAUCAGUGGAAGAUUCAGCAGCAUCCUUCUUAAAGCUCAUUUUUAUUUUGUGCAGGAGAUGGAAACUACCCCUACCCCUGCCCUUCAAGCUGCCUGAGGGAAGUGGCAGUUGCUUUCCCCACUUUUAUGGUUACUUAGUUUUGUGUGUGUGUGUAUGUGUACAGAAUCAUAGAAUCAUAGAACAGUUUGUGUUGGAAGGGACCUUCAAAGCUCAUCUAGUCCAACCCCCUGCAAUGAGCAGGGACAUCUUCAACUACACCAGGUUUCCCAGAACCACAUCCAGCCUGGGCUGGAAUGUCUCCAGGGAUGGGGCAUCCACCACCUCUCUGGGCAGCCUGUGCCAGUGUUUCACCACCCUCAUUGUAAAGAAUUUCUUCCUCACAUCCAGCCUGAAUCUCCCUCUUUUAGUUUAAACCCAUCACCCCUCGUCCUGUCACAACAGGCCCUGCUGAAAAGUCUCUCCCCACCUUUCUUAUAGGCCCCUUUUAAGUACUGAAAGGCCGCAAUAAGGUCUCCAAGCUGAUCAACCCCAACUCUCUCAGCAGUUCCUCGUGGCAGAGGUGCUCCAGCCCUCUGAUCAUUUUUGUGUCCCUCCUCUGGACCCUCUCCAACAGGUCCAUACAGGUGUGUAUGCACACUUGCAUACAUGUACCUAAAGCUACAUAUAGUUACGUGCUCCAGAAAGAGAUGAUUCCUCUGGUGUUGUGCAUGCUGUCUGUCACAUUGAAGAUCUGAACUAUUUGUGAUGGGUUGGGUUCUUUCAUUAAAGUCAUAGAUCGGUGUCUUAACCACAAAACCCUCCUUAAUAAGAAAAAGAAAA